RNAcentral lists this transfer RNA (74 nucleotides) under Candidatus Woesebacteria bacterium RIFCSPHIGHO2_01_FULL_39_23. Its description in RNAcentral is "tRNA-Trp". It matches the Rfam family "tRNA". From Rfam's summary of the family: Transfer RNA (tRNA) molecules are approximately 80 nucleotides in length. Their secondary structure includes four short double-helical elements and three loops (D, anti-codon, and T loops). The record is from RNAcentral. RNAcentral also lists the same sequence under 1 other name. Lineage: Bacteria; Candidatus Woeseibacteriota.
AGGGGCGUCGUUCAGUGGUAGGACCCGGGUCUCCAAAACCCGUGACGGGGGUUCGAUUCCCUCCGCCCCUGCCA